AUUGAAAGCCCAACAAACAGCUGGACCGAUUGGGAUGACAUUUUUUGGGGACACUCAUAGAGUAUGGUGCUGAAUACAGACUCCACAUAAUCAAACUCAAUCGUUCAAUGUCCUCCACUCCCUCACAGUUCUGCUGUUGACAGU
Molecule: long non-coding RNA, 144 nt
Organism: Eurytemora carolleeae
Lineage: Eukaryota; Metazoa; Arthropoda; Copepoda; Calanoida; Temoridae
Exons: 3
Source: RefSeq, a predicted model, not a curated record